Molecule: transfer RNA, 71 nt
Filed under: Loxodonta africana (African savanna elephant)
Lineage: Eukaryota; Metazoa; Chordata; Mammalia; Proboscidea; Elephantidae
Rfam family: tRNA
About the family: Transfer RNA (tRNA) molecules are approximately 80 nucleotides in length. Their secondary structure includes four short double-helical elements and three loops (D, anti-codon, and T loops). Further hydrogen bonds mediate the characteristic L-shaped molecular structure. tRNAs have two regions of fundamental functional importance: the anti-codon, which is responsible for specific mRNA codon recognition, and the 3' end, to which the tRNAs corresponding amino acid is attached (by aminoacyl-tRNA synthetases). tRNAs cope with the degeneracy of the genetic code in two manners: having more than one tRNA (with a specific anti-codon) for a particular amino acid; and 'wobble' base-pairing, i.e. permitting non-standard base-pairing at the 3rd anti-codon position.
Source: Rfam by way of RNAcentral
GUAAUGGUGGUUCAGUGGUAGAACUCUUGCCUUCGAUGUGGGAGACCUGGGUUCUAUUCCCAGUCAGUGCA